CUACAUGAAGUCGGAAUUGCUAGUAAUCGCGGAUCAGCAUGCCGCGGUGAAUACGUUCCCGGGCCUUGUACACACCGCCCGUCACACCAUGGGAGUCGGUAACACCCGAAGCCUGUAGUCUAACCGCAAGGGGGACGCAGUCGAAGGUGGGAUUGAUGACUGGGGUGAAGUCGUAACAAGGUAGC
Molecule: ribosomal RNA, 185 nt
Filed under: uncultured bacterium
Lineage: Bacteria
Description: partial 16S ribosomal RNA
Rfam family: Bacterial small subunit ribosomal RNA
Source: RNAcentral